RNAcentral lists this long non-coding RNA (214 nucleotides) under Carica papaya (papaya). RNAcentral describes it as "long non-coding RNA (CPAP_LNC014273)". The record is from RNAcentral. Lineage: Eukaryota; Viridiplantae; Streptophyta; Magnoliopsida; Brassicales; Caricaceae.
UUUAUCUUUUUUUCAAAUGUGCCGCUCGACGUUACGCGCGACUUUAAUUAUGGUCCGCAGAUUUAUUUACAAAUGUGAGCCACGGCGCCGUGGCAUUUUACUUGAUAUUUGAACAAGAACGAGAGGUGCAGUGCGCACGCACAAGGAAACAAAUGACGGGAGGGGGAAGAAAGGAGAAGGAGUGUAUGUAUUCGCAGCGCGAAAUGAAACAGGU